This 2131-nucleotide long non-coding RNA is filed under the name Mytilus galloprovincialis (Mediterranean mussel). Lineage: Eukaryota; Metazoa; Mollusca; Bivalvia; Mytilida; Mytilidae. The record is from RNAcentral.
AGACAAUCAAAAUUAUCACCAAAAUGCGAUUGGCCAUCAUUUUGAUUCUGUUGACUCUUGUAGCAAGUGGAUAUACAAGAUUCUUUUGUAAGUACAACUUUAACUUAAUAUAGUUUUUUUUAUGAUUAAAUAUAACAAAUGCGUAGAAAGUAAAUAAGACAGCAACCCACAGACCCUAAGAUUGUUUUUUUUUUGUGAUUAAGAUUGUGACACGGUGUUGACUGCUGUACCCUUAUAUUGACAUUUUUGCGUAUUAUGUCUGUUUGUUUUAUUCACGCAUCGUUGUCAAUAUCAUGGAAUUUGAUGCGACUGCCAUAGUGAGAGGACCAGGUUCAAUCAACCAUUUUCUAAAUAAGAAAUUACCUGUAACAAGUACGGGAUAUGGCAGUUGAUGUGUUUGUGCUUUUAAUUUUUGUCAUUUGAUUAGGGACUUUCCGUUUUCCCCGGAGUUCAAUUUUUUUGUUAUUUAACUUUUUAUAGAUCAACUUCUGUAAAAUAAUGUGUCUUUACGAUAUGUCAAGCUCUAAAACAUUUCAAAAAUGAUAAAUCUCAUGGAAUAUAUAAAUCUUUAUUUUUGUUUCAGUUUACCGUAGACCAUAUUACCGACGGAGUUACUACCCUUCUUACAGAUCAUAUAAUUAUUAUGGUGGAUCAAACAACUACUACAAGGACGCCGGAGGUAAGCUAUUAUCCAUAAAUGUUUAGGUGCAAGCUGAAUCUGAAUCCGGGUGCGGGAAUGUCACGCUGUUUUGAAGACCCAUUGGUGGCAUUGGGCUGUUUUCGGCUCAUUAAUCGGUGUGUUGCCCUUUGAAAUAUUCUCCGUUUCCAUUCUCAAUUUUGAGUUUUGAUGCAGUGCAUUGUAAAACUUGUUUGAACAUAUCUUUGACUAAAAUAAUCGCUGCUGCGUUUCUGACUAAAUGGAACUGCACUACCUUUCAAUAAGCUUUUAUUUAGAACAUUGCAAUGGGGUUCACCUUAUUUCAUUUCAAGGACACACACAUUAAAAAAAAAUAAUUCAAAAACAGAAUGUAUACGCUCAUAGAUGUCAGACGUUAGCAUUAAAUCUCCUAUGGACUUCGAAAGGCGAAAAACGAGAUUAAAAAGCUGAAAAGUGAUUAUCUUUGGCCAAAGUGAAUUUUGAUGGAAAUUUUUUGUCGAUAGACGAUUUAGCGAGUGUUUAGACUUGAUAAAAGAGGGACGAAAGAUACCAAAAGGGACAGUCAAACUCAUAAAUCUAAAACAAACUGACAACGCCAUGGCUAAAAAUGAAAAAGACAAACAUACAACAACACACACGAAACAACAUAGAAAACAUAAGAAUAAACAACACGAACCCCACCAAAAUACUAGGGGUGAUCUCAGGUGCUCCGGAAGGGUAAGCAGAUCCUGCUCCACAUGUAGAUAAAGGACGAAGCUUUAGGUUUGCAUUAUACCAAACAGUAACUCCACAUUAAUUCAUGUUAAGUCUAUGUUCGUAUGACCUUUAAGAUUGGGAAACAAUGUGCUGUUUUCAACAUAUAAAUGUACUUGUUUACUAUAAACUGAUCACGUGCAUUAGUGUAUCAGUGAUACAUUGGGCGAACAUACGUGUUUAACGGUCAGACAAGUAAUUGACCAAAUAAACAUGACAUAUAUUAUCUGAAAAAAACAGUAUAGUUAACAGGGUCAAGUUGUCGCCUUUGAGGCCAAUAAUUGUUCUACACCUUAUAGGCUGCACUAAAAACAUUGUCGAGCUUAAUAAAAUGAAACGGUCUUUCAAUAAAUCCGCUGUGUCAUUAGAUCUUGUUGCAUUUUUGAUGAAGGUAAAUCAAAAAAUGAAUCGAGUGCAAGAACUGUAUAAAAUGUUAAUAUCAUUUACGGUUGUUGUAUUUUGCACAAAAACUGGACUAAAACUAAGUAGUCUUUUGUCUUCAUUUGGUUGCCUAAUCUGCAAACUUUAGGCUUAAUGUUAACGUUUGUUAUGUUCAGCAUGACUUGCACUUGAUUGAGUUUCGAAAAAUAAUCAAUGUGUAUUCAACAAAAUUUCUAGAAUUUCUAUUAAACUUCUUCUUUUUUUGACAGAUCGCAACGAAAUUUGGUCUGAUGCAUAGUAAAGGACUUUGAGAAACAUGGACAAGAAUCAGAACUGGCC